Non-coding RNA from Echinostoma caproni, 82 nucleotides. Lineage: Eukaryota; Metazoa; Platyhelminthes; Trematoda; Plagiorchiida; Echinostomatidae. The record is from Rfam.
GGCCUCGUAGCUCAGCUGGUAGAGUCUGCGCAUAUAAAGCGUAGGCGAUGUCCAUGCGUGAGUUCGAAUCCCACCGAGGCUC